CUUUCCUUGAUGACGACUGGCGCACGGGUGAGUAACGCGUAUCCAACCUUCCCAUAACUACGGGAUAACCCGUUGAAAGACGGCCUAAUACCGUAUGAUAUCGUUUGCUGACAUCAAAUAACGAUUAAAGGUUUAGCGGUUAUGGAUGGGGAUGCGUCUGAUUAGCUUGUUGGCGGGGUAACGGCCCACCAAGGCAACGAUCAGUAGGGGUUCUGAGAGGAAGGUCCCCCACAUUGGAACUGAGACACGGUCCAAACUCCUACGGGAGGCAGCAGGA
This 277-nucleotide ribosomal RNA is filed under the name uncultured Prevotella sp. Its description in RNAcentral is "partial 16S ribosomal RNA". It matches the Rfam family "Bacterial small subunit ribosomal RNA", at positions 79 to 354 of the family's 1533-position model. The record is from RNAcentral. Lineage: Bacteria; Pseudomonadati; Bacteroidota; Bacteroidia; Bacteroidales; Prevotellaceae.